CUGUUCGUUCUGGACCUGAUCGACUUACAAAGAUCCGCUCCCAGUUUAAGAAUUUUCUUUCCGAGGCAACUGGAUUUUAUCAUGAUUUGAUGUUGAAGAUAAGAGCUAAAUACGGUCUACCGUUAGGAUAUUUUUCUGAUGAUCCAGAUAACCAGAUUCCCAUGUCAAAAGAUGGAAAUAAAUCCUCUGAGGUGAAAAAAGGCCUGAUAUCCUGUCAUCGUUGUUUGAUUUAUUUGGGAGAUCUUGCUCGUUACAAAGGCUUGUACGGGGAAGGGGAUUCUAAAGCGCGGGAUUUUGCUGCAGCAUCAAGUUACUAUAUGCAAGCUUCCUCACUUUGUCCGUCAAAUGGCAAUCCACAUCAUCAGCUUGCUAUACUGGCUGGAUAUUCAAAUGAUGAACUGGUCUCCAUUUAUCGCUAUUUUCGGAGUCUAGCGGUUGAUAACCCUUUCGUUACUGCGAGAGACAACUUGAUAAUUGCAUUUGAGAAGAAUCGUCAGAAUUAUACCCAACUAGUUGGUGAUGGUAAAGCUACUACAGUUAAGACUGCAUCUUCAAGGAUGUCUGGAAAAGGAAGAGGCAAAGGUGGAACAAGGUCUUCUUUGAAGGACAUUAAAACGGAAGCUACUGCAGUUAAGGAAAAAGUUCCAAAUAACCUUGAGCUCUUCAAAGCCUUUAUUACGCGAUUUGUUAGGCUGAACGGCAUCCUGUUCACACGCACAAGCUUGGAAACUUUUGUUGAAGUGUUCUCAAUGGUCAAAAGUGAUCUACUAGAACUUCUCUCUUCUGGGCCAGAUGAGGACUUAAACUUUGGUUCAGAUGCUGCUGAGUGUAGACUUGCAAUUGUCAGGAUGAUUGCCAUUCUAAUAUUUACAGUCCAUAAUGUGAAUAAGGAAAAUGAAAACCAAUCAUAUGCCGACAUUCUACAGCGUUCAGUCCUACUUCAGAAUGCUUUUACUGCUACCUUUGAGUUUAUGGGCUGCAUGCUUGAAAGGUGUAACCAGUUAAAUGAUCCCUCAUCGAGCUAUUUAUUGCCUGGGAUUAUGGUUUUUGUAGAGUGGUUGGCCUGUUGUCCUGAUGUUGCAGUUGGCAGUGAACUGGAAGAGAAACAAGUGAAUGCGAGGUCUUUUUUCUGGAACAAAUAUAUCGCCUUCCUAAAUAAGUUGUUGUCAAAGAGAUAUAUUUUUGUGAAUGAGCAUGAAGAGGAGACAUGCUUCUCUAAUAUGAGCAAGUACGAUGAGAGUGAGACUGCUAAUCGCCUUGCAUUGUUUGAGGACUUCGAGUUGAGAGGUUUUCUUCCCCUUCUUCCUGCCCAGCUCAUCCUUGAUUUUUCAAGGAAGCGUUCAUUUGGUGGUGAUGGAGGCAGCAAAGAAAAAAUUGCCCGUGUACAGAGGAUUAUUGCGGCAGGAAAGGCUCUUGCCAACAUUGUCCGGAUAGGCCAGGAGGGUGUAUACUUUGACACAAAGUUGAAGAAAUUUGUUAUUGGACCUCAGAUUUCUGAUGAUUACUUGCUCACCAGUCCGUUGGAGCUGAAUUUAAAUGCUAACAUAGAAAAUAUUUCAGCAGGCGUUGAGAUGGCUUUGGGUCAUGAACCAAAUUCAGAGAUAGGUGUGGAAGCUGAGGAGGAGGACGAGGUGAUCGUUUUUAGGCCUUCCAUAAAUGAGAAGCAUAUGGAUGAAUUCUCUUCAAACUUAAAUUCCAAAGUGCUUCUUCCUUCUGUCAGUGGAGCUGGCAAUACUGAUAUUGGGAAAGAAAAUGGGUCCUUCUCUGUUGGACAUGAUACUUUCCUCUUUGAGAAUGCAUUAAAUGCUAGCAUGAGACCGUCAGCAACUGUUGCUAAUGCUACUUCUCAGUUUCUGCUGCCAGUCCAACCCAGCAUGUCAAAUUGGCCAGUGGAACAGAGUCCAAUUGUGAAUGGCUUGGCUGACUUGAAUUUGAUGGAAAAUGGUUCUGCUCUGAAAUCAGAGCUGAAAGACCCCUUCAAAGUUUCUCAGCCUACUGCUCUUUCCGUGCCAUACCCACAAUUUGUCAAUACCAGUGUUGGCCAUAAUUAUUCCAUUCAAAAUCCUCAAGCUGUCGUGCAACCAAGGUUUGAGUCUGUUAUGUCCUCUGGAGCAGCUGUUGAUGCCUUGCCCGUGAAACCGUCAUCAAUGAUAUUACCAGGCUUAAAGAAGAACCCAGUGAGUCGACCUGUCAGACACUUUGGUCCACCACCUGGUUUUAGUUCAGUUCCUUCCAAAGUAAUGGAUGAACCAUUGAAGGUGGACUUGAAAAAUGAUAAUGCUUCAGUUCCACUGAUGGAUGAUUACAGCUGGCUAGAUGGAUAUCCACUGUCAUCAUUAAAUCAGAGUGUUGGUUUUGGUGAUUCCUAUAAUCAAGUGGGCCCUGCAUUCCAUUCUUUGAACAAGAACAAUGGCUCAAUGGGGUUAGCAAGCUUCCCUUUCCCUGGGAAGCAAGUUGCAUCACUGCAAGUUCAGAGUGAAAACCAGAAAGGCUGGCAGGACUAUCAAUUAUCUGAUGGGGAGCAUCAGCAGCAAUUUCAGAAAGUGAAUCAACAACCUGGUGGGCCUCCAAUGCAGUAUCAAGGACAGUCUCUCUGGGAGGGUCGUUUCUUUGUGUGAGAUGAUUGAGGGGCAUAUAUCCAUAAAGAAUGGCCAAUAUAAUCAAGUUCUUUUGGAGCAUGGUCAGGUAGUGUUGCGGGCACAUGCUAUUCAACAGCUUGUGUCGAGCUUUCCAGAUUGGUUCAGUGGAGCUUAUGACGUCAAUAGGUGAAGUUCUUGGAUAUUUUGCAAGCUUGAUUGCCUUGUCUGGUGGAUCAUUUGGGGUAAGCCUUCAGGGAUAGCGGAUUGUGGUGGACAAUGGGGAGCAUCUGGUUGGAAUCAAAAGAAGUGCUAGCAAUUCCGGUGGCUGGUGGAGGCCGUUUAAUCUGAAAUAUUUGUCGGCCUCUGCUAUAAUGGCAUGAUGGAAGUUUCAAAAGCCAAUACCCAGUGGUGUAUUUCACCCAGUUGUCAAGUCUGCCUAAGUUCUGAAAUGGAAUUUUCUUCCAUACAGGGAAUGUGCCAUGGAUGUUAGAUUUAAAUAAGUAGGCAGUUCUAAACGCAUUAAGGUAUUUCAACUUUUGUGAUUUACGUUUCUGUUCGUGAAAGCAGCACAUCAAAUUGGGAGUGAAUUGUGUCUGUUGUCAAAUGCAUUAUGAUGUUAUUAUUUGUUAUUCGGAUUUGAAUGGUGAUCCAGCAAAGUUGUUUUUUUCAGUUAA
Molecule: non-coding RNA, 3253 nt
Organism: Sesamum indicum (sesame)
Lineage: Eukaryota; Viridiplantae; Streptophyta; Magnoliopsida; Lamiales; Pedaliaceae
Source: RefSeq, a predicted model, not a curated record